This 450-nucleotide ribosomal RNA is filed under the name Bacillus subtilis. Its description in RNAcentral is "bacterial SSU rRNA". It matches the Rfam family "Bacterial small subunit ribosomal RNA", at positions 62 to 494 of the family's 1533-position model. The record is from RNAcentral. Lineage: Bacteria; Bacillati; Bacillota; Bacilli; Caryophanales; Bacillaceae.
UCGAGCGGACAGAUGGGAGCUUGCUCCCUGAUGUUAGCGGCGGACGGGUGAGUAACACGUGGGUAACCUGCCUGUAAGACUGGGAUAACUCCGGGAAACCGGGGCUAAUACCGGAUGGUUGUUUGAACCGCAUGGUUCAAACAUAAAAGGUGGCUUCGGCUACCACUUACAGAUGGACCCGCGGCGCAUUAGCUAGUUGGUGAGGUAAYGGCUCACCAAGGCRACGAUGCGUAGCCGACCUGAGAGGGUGAUCGGCCACACUGGGACUGAGACACGGCCCAGACUCCUACGGGAGGCAGCAGUAGGGAAUCUUCCGCAAUGGACGAAAGUCUGACGGAGCAACGCCGCGUGAGUGAUGAAGGUUUUCGGAUCGUAAAGCUCUGUUGUUAGGGAAGAACAAGUACCGUUCGAAUAGGGCGGUACCUUGACGGUACCUAACCAGAAAGCCAC